ACUGCCAUAUCAUCUUGAAACACCAGUAGUCGUACGAUCACUGAAGUUAAGCAACGUCAAGCCUGAUCAGUACCUCAAUGUCUGACCGCUUGGAAAUAGUAGGUGCAGUAAG
Acanthosepion pharaonis is the source of this 112-nucleotide non-coding RNA. NCBI's taxonomy places the organism in Eukaryota, Metazoa, Mollusca, Cephalopoda, Sepiida, Sepiidae. The record is from the annotation of a GenBank genome assembly.